RNAcentral lists this ribosomal RNA (758 nucleotides) under uncultured bacterium. RNAcentral's name for it is "bacterial SSU rRNA". It matches the Rfam family "Bacterial small subunit ribosomal RNA", at positions 33 to 773 of the family's 1533-position model. The record is from RNAcentral.
ACGCUGGCGGCGUGCCUAAUACAUGCAAGUCGAACGCACAGCGAAAGGUGCUUGCACCUUUCAAGUGAGUGGCGAACGGGUGAGUAACACGUGGACAACCUGCCUCAAGGCUGGGGAUAACAUUUGGAAACAGAUGCUAAUACCGAAUAAAACUUAGUGUCGCAUGACACAAAGUUAAAAGGCGCUUCGGCGUCACCUAGAGAUGGAUCCGCGGUGCACUAGUUAGUUGGUGGGGUAAAGGCCUACCAAGACAAUGAUGCAUAGCCGAGUUGAGAGACUGAUCGGCCACAUUGGGACUGAGACACGGCCCAAACUCCUACGGGAGGCUGCAGUAGGGAAUCUUCCACAAUGGGCGAAAGCCUGAUGGAGCAACGCCGCGUGUGUGAUGAAGGCUUUCGGGUCGUAAAGCACUGUUGUAUGGGAAGAACAGCUAGAAUAGGAAAUGAUUUUAGUUUGACGGUACCAUACCAGAAAGGGACGGCUAAAUACGUGCCAGCAGCCGCGGUAAUACGUAUGUCCCGAGCGUUAUCCGGAUUUAUUGGGCGUAAAGCGAGCGCAGACGGUUUAUUAAGUCUGAUGUGAAAGCCCGGAGCUCAACUCCGGAAUGGCAUUGGAAACUGGUUAACUUGAGUGCAGUAGAGGUAAGUGGAACUCCAUGUGUAGCGGUGGAAUGCGUAGAUAUAUGGAAGAACACCAGUGGCGAAGGCGGCUUACUGGACUGCAACUGACGUUGAGGCUCGAAAGUGUGGGUAGCAAAC